GAUGAACGCUGGCGGCGUGCCUAAUACAUGCAAGUCGAGCGAACGGACGAGAAGCUUGCUUCUCUGAUGUUAGCGGCGGACGGGUGAGUAACACGUGGAUAACCUACCUAUAAGACUGGGAUAACUUCGGGAAACCGGAGCUAAUACCGGAUGAUAUUUUGAACCGCAUGGUUCAAAAGUGAAAGACGGUCUUGCUGUCACUUAUAGAUGGAUCCGCGCUGCAUUAGCUAGUUGGUAAGGUAACGGCUUACCAAGGCAACGAUGCAUAGCCGACCUGAGAGGGAGAUCGGCCACACUGGAACUGAGACACGGUCCCGACUCCUACGGGAGGCAGCAGUAGGGACUCUUACGCAAUGGGCGAAAGCCUGACGGAGCAACGCCGCGUGAGUGAUGAAGGUCUUCGGAUCGUAAAACUCUGUUAUUAGGGAAGAACAUAUGUGUAAGUAACUGUGCACAUCUUGACGGUACCUAAUCAGAAAGCCACGGCUAACUCCGUG
This 497-nucleotide ribosomal RNA is filed under the name uncultured bacterium. Its description in RNAcentral is "partial 16S ribosomal RNA". It matches the Rfam family "Bacterial small subunit ribosomal RNA", at positions 28 to 507 of the family's 1533-position model. The record is from RNAcentral.